RNAcentral lists this ribosomal RNA (500 nucleotides) under uncultured bacterium. RNAcentral's name for it is "bacterial SSU rRNA". It matches the Rfam family "Bacterial small subunit ribosomal RNA", at positions 791 to 1289 of the family's 1533-position model. The record is from RNAcentral.
UAGUCCACGCUGUAAACGAUGAGUGCUAGAAGCUGAGAGUUUAUCUCUUGGUUUUGCAGUUAACACAUUAAGCAUUCCGCCUGGGGAGUACGAUCGCAAGAUUGAAACUUAAAGGAAUUGACGGGGGCUCGCACAAGCGGUGGAGCAUGCGGUUUAAUUCGAUGCUACGCGAAAAACCUUACCAACCCUUGACAUGUAAAUUUUAAGCAGUGGAGACACAGCUUUUCAGUUCGGCUGGAUUUACACAGGUGUUGCAUGGCUGUCGUCAGCUCGUGUCGUGAGAUGUUGGGUUAAGUCCCGCAACGAGCGCAACCCUCACUCUUACUUGCCAGCAAGUCAGGUUGGGGACUGUAAGAGAACUGCCUGCCAUAAGCAGGAGGAAGGUGAGGACGAGGUCAAGUCAUCAUGGCCCUUAUGGGUUGGGCGUACACGCGUGCUACAAUGGUGUUUACAAUGGGAAGCAAGCUGGCAACAGUAAGCAAAUCCCCUAAAAACGUCUA